This 936-nucleotide ribosomal RNA is filed under the name Planococcus sp. PS4-1. RNAcentral's name for it is "bacterial SSU rRNA". It matches the Rfam family "Bacterial small subunit ribosomal RNA", at positions 48 to 954 of the family's 1533-position model. The record is from RNAcentral. Lineage: Bacteria; Bacillati; Bacillota; Bacilli; Caryophanales; Caryophanaceae.
CUAAAGGAUCCCGUCUAAGUUUGAAAGGGGUCUGGAAUUUUGUAACCGGGCCCCAUUGGUUUUGCGCCGGGUGGGUGAGUAACACGUGGGCAACCUGCCCUGCAGAUCCUUUUAACUCCGGGAAACCGGUGCUAAUACCGAAUAGUUUGCGGCCUCUCAUGAGGCUGCACGGAAAGACGGUUUCGGCUGUCACUGCAGGAUGGGCCCGCGGCGCAUUAGCUAGUUGGUGAGGUAACGGCUCACCAAGGCCACGAUGCGUAGCCGACCUGAGAGGGUGAUCGGCCACACUGGGACUGAGACACGGCCCAGACUCCUACGGGAGGCAGCAGUAGGGAAUCUUCCGCAAUGGACGAAAGUCUGACGGAGCAACGCCGCGUGAGUGAAGAAGGUUUUCGGAUCGUAAAACUCUGUUGUGAGGGAAGAACAAGUACCAACUAACUACUGGUACCUUGACGGUACCUCACCAGAAAGCCACGGCUAACUACGUGCCAGCAGCCGCGGUAAUACGUAGGUGGCAAGCGUUGUCCGGAAUUAUUGGGCGUAAAGCGCGCGCAGGCGGUUCUUUAAGUCUGAUGUGAAAGCCCACGGCUCAACCGUGGAGGGUCAUUGGAAACUGGGGAACUUGAGUGCAGAAGAGGAAAGUGGAAUUCCAUGUGUAGCGGUGAAAUGCGUAGAGAUGUGGAGGAACACCAGUGGCGAAUGCGACUUUCUGGUCUGUAACUGACGCUGAGGCGCGAAAGCGUGGGGAGCAAAACAGGAUCAGAUACCCUGGUAGUCCACGCCGUAAACGAUGAGUGCUAAGUGUUAGGGGGUUUCCGCCCCUUAGUGCUGCAGCUAACGCAUUAAGCACUCGCCUGGGGAGUACUGGCGGCAAGGCUGAUACUUAUAAGAAUUGACUGGGGCCCGCACAGCGGUGGAGCAUGUGGUUUAAUUCGA